AGAACGAACGCUGGCGGCAGGCUUAACACAUGCAAGUCGAGCGCAUCCUUCGGGGUGAGCGGCAGACGGGUGAGUAACGCGUGGGGAUAUGCCCAGAGGUGUGGAAUAACUCAGGGAAACUUGAGCUAAUACCGCAUGAGCCCUUCGGGGGAAAGAUUUAUCGCCUUUGGAUUAACCCGCGUCAGAUUAGCUAGUUGGUAGGGUAAUGGCCUACCAAGGCGACGAUCUGUAGCUGGUCUGAGAGGAUGACCAGCCACACUGGGACUGAGACACGGCCCAGACUCCUACGGGAGGCAGCAGUGGGGAAUAUUGGACAAUGGGCGCAAGCCUGAUCCAGCCAUGCCGCGUGGAUGAUGAAGGCCUUAGGUUGUAAAGUCCUUUAACGGGAAGAUAAUGACGGUACCCGUAGAAUAAGCCCGGCUAACUUCGCGCCAGCAGCCGC
This 442-nucleotide ribosomal RNA is filed under the name uncultured bacterium. Its description in RNAcentral is "SSU rRNA". It matches the Rfam family "Bacterial small subunit ribosomal RNA", at positions 26 to 518 of the family's 1533-position model. The record is from RNAcentral.